UACGGGGGGGGCAAGCGUUGUUCGGAAUCACUGGGCGUAAAGGGCGCGUAGGCGGCCGAUCAAGUCGGGGGUGAAAGCCUGUGGCUCAACCACAGAAUUGCCUUCGAUACUGUUUGGCUUGAGACCGGAAGAGGUUAGUGGAACUGCGAGUGUAGAGGUGAAAUUCGUAGAUAUUCGCAAGAACACCAGUGGCGAAGGCGGCUGACUGGUCCGGUUCUGACGCUGAGGCGCGAAAGCGUGGGGAGCAAACAGG
This 253-nucleotide ribosomal RNA is filed under the name uncultured bacterium. Its description in RNAcentral is "partial 16S ribosomal RNA". It matches the Rfam family "Bacterial small subunit ribosomal RNA", at positions 524 to 776 of the family's 1533-position model. The record is from RNAcentral.